RNAcentral lists this transfer RNA (817 nucleotides) under Bradyrhizobium sp. Its description in RNAcentral is "partial contains 16S ribosomal RNA, 16S-23S ribosomal RNA intergenic spacer, and 23S ribosomal RNA". The stretch from base 226 to 299 matches the Rfam family "tRNA". Lineage: Bacteria; Pseudomonadati; Pseudomonadota; Alphaproteobacteria; Hyphomicrobiales; Nitrobacteraceae. The record is from RNAcentral.
GCCGUAGGGGAACCUGCGGCUGGAUCACCUCCUUUCUAAGGAUGAUCCUUCAGCGAGCUCACGCUCACUAUCGGAUCGUUUUAGAAACAUCAGUGGCCAACAGAUCGCCAGAUCGUUGAGCUGCAUUGGCGGGAUUUCGCCGUCUUCGUUUCUCUUUCUUCGCGGACGAACACGCGCUGGGCCUGCAACGGCAGGAUCCGGGGUCCUUAACGGGAUAUGCGUUAGGGGCUUGUAGCUCAGUUGGUUAGAGCGCGCGCUUGAUAAGCGUGAGGUCGGAAGUUCAAGUCUUCCCAGGCCCACCACUUUCAUCGAGUGAGCAUUCGUCUUCUGGUUACGGGGCCAUAGCUCAGCUGGGAGAGCGCGUGCUUUGCAAGCAUGAGGUCGUCGGUUCGAUCCCGUCUGGCUCCACCAGAUGGUUUGAUCGCCGAGGUCAUGCACCGUCGUCCGCGAAACAUCACUUCGCAUUCACUAGUCUGGAUAGACAGUGAACUGCGUGUUUUCUGACAUCGUAAAGAGGAGAUCGAUCCGAGUUGGGUCGUGCAGCAUAUCGUUGCGCGAGCCUUCAUUAUCUCCGGAUCAUUUUCGGCGCUCGCGUCCGACCGCAAGGUUGGCUGCGAGUUGUAAAAUGAUCCUUUUAGCGAAGCUUGACCGCCUCGCUAUCGGAACGAUCUUACGAAGCAAGCUGGUCUUUCUAGUCAAUGUCCGGCUGUACGUAGCAUUCAUCGAGGGUGCGCGCCGCAAGGCAAUCGUACAGACAACAUUCUGCCGAGUGUGUGGACAUUGAUAAUGAGAGCAAUCAAGUGCCUUAAGGGUGUUC